This 234-nucleotide ribosomal RNA is filed under the name Pseudomonas aeruginosa. RNAcentral's name for it is "partial 16S ribosomal RNA". It matches the Rfam family "Bacterial small subunit ribosomal RNA", at positions 162 to 398 of the family's 1533-position model. Lineage: Bacteria; Pseudomonadati; Pseudomonadota; Gammaproteobacteria; Pseudomonadales; Pseudomonadaceae. The record is from RNAcentral.
GCUAAUACCGCAUACGUCCUGAGGGAGAAAGUGGGGGAUCUUCGGACCUCACGCUAUCAGAUGAGCCUAGGUCGGAUUAGCUAGUUGGUGGGGUAAAGGCCUACCAAGGCGACGAUCCGUAACUGGUCUGAGAGGAUGAUCAGUCACACUGGAGCUGAGACACGGUCCAGACUCCUACGGGAGGCAGCAGUGGGGAAUAUUGGACAAUGGGCGAAAGCCUGAUCCAGCCAUGCC